AGACCCGAAACCCGGUGAUCUAGCCAUGGGCAGGUUGAAGGUUGGGUAACACUAACUGGAGGACCGAACCGACUAAUGUUGAAAAAUUAGCGGAUGACCUGUGGCUGGGGGUGAAAGGCCAAUCAAACCGGGAGAUAGCUGGUUCUCCCCGAAAGCUAUUUAGGUAGCGCCUCGUGAAUUCAUCUCCGGGGGUAGAGCACUGUUUCGGCUAGGGGGCCAUCCCGGCUUACCAACCCGAUGCAAACUGCGAAUACCGGAGAAUGUUAUCACGGGAGACACACGGCGGGUGCUAACGUCCGUCGUGAAGAGGGAAACAACCCAGACCGCCAGCUAAGGUCCCAAAGUCAUGGUUAAGUGGGAAACGAUGUGGGAAGGCCCAGACAGCCAGGAUGUUGGCUUAGAAGCAGCCAUCAUUUAAAGAAAGCGUAAUAGCUCACUGGUCGAGUCGGCCUGCGCGGAAGAUGUAACGGGGCUAAACCAUGCACCGAAGCUGCGGCAGCGAACGUAUCACCCAAGACAACUUUGCGGAGUUGACGAUUGACGGAGCGAAGCGACGUCAAAGCGUUCAUUAAAGUCGAGUUGGCUUAGGGAUACGUUCGUUGGGUAGGGGAGCGUUCUGUAAGCCUGUGAAGGUGGCCUGUGAGGGUUGCUGGAGGUAUCAGAAGUGCGAAUGCUGACAUAAGUAACGAUAAAGCGGGUGAAAAGCCCGCUCGCCGGAAGACCAAGGGUUCCUGUCCAACGUUAAUCGGGGCAGGGUGAGUCGACCCCUAAGGCGAGGCCGAAAGGCGUAGUCGAUGGGAAACGGGUUAAUAUUCCCGUACUUGGUGUUACUGCGAAGGGGGGACGGAGAAGGCUAUGUUGGCCGGGCGACGGUUGUCCCGGUUUAA
This 887-nucleotide ribosomal RNA is filed under the name Salmonella enterica. RNAcentral describes it as "partial 23S ribosomal RNA". It matches the Rfam family "Bacterial large subunit ribosomal RNA", at positions 711 to 1515 of the family's 2925-position model. Lineage: Bacteria; Pseudomonadati; Pseudomonadota; Gammaproteobacteria; Enterobacterales; Enterobacteriaceae. The record is from RNAcentral.